RNAcentral lists this ribosomal RNA (254 nucleotides) under uncultured bacterium. Its description in RNAcentral is "partial 16S ribosomal RNA". It matches the Rfam family "Bacterial small subunit ribosomal RNA", at positions 524 to 776 of the family's 1533-position model. The record is from RNAcentral.
UACAGAGGUCCCAAGCGUUGUCCGGAAUUACUGGGCGUAAAGAGCUCGUAGGCGGCUUGGCAAGUCGGGUGUGAAACCUCCAGGCUCAACCUGGAGUCGCCACCCGAUACUGCUAUGACUUGAGUCUGGUAGGGGAUCACGGAAUUCCUGGUGUAGCGGUGAAAUGCACAGAUAUCAGGAGGAACACCGGUGGCGAAGGCGGUGAUCUGGGCCAGUACUGACGCUCAAGAGCGAAAGCGUGGGUAGCGAACAGG